Cervus elaphus (red deer) is the source of this 355-nucleotide long non-coding RNA. RefSeq lists it as uncharacterized. The transcript is spliced from 3 exons. Lineage: Eukaryota; Metazoa; Chordata; Mammalia; Artiodactyla; Cervidae. The record is from RefSeq and is a predicted model, not a curated record.
GUCCUUCAGCACCACAAUUCGAAAGCAUCAAUUCUUUGGUGCUCAGCCUUCUUUAUGGCCCAACUCUCACAUCCAUACACGACUACUGGAAAAACCACAGCUUUGACUAUACGGACCAGAUUGGUAGGUGGCAGGUUUAAUAAACAAGGGAACUUAUUUAAGAGUUUUGUCUUUAGUUCAGUUCAGUUCAGUCGCUCAGUCGUGUCAGACUCUUUGUGACCCCAUGAACUGCAGCACACCAGGCCUCCCUGCCCAUCACCAACUCCCGGAGUUUACCCAAAGUCAUGUCCAUUGACUUGGUGAUGCCAUCCAGCCAUCUCAUCCUCUGUCGUCCCCUUCUCUUCCUGCCCCCAAU